GAUGAACGCUGACAGAAUGCUUAACACAUGCAAGUCAACUUGAACUUCGGUUUGGGUGGCGGACGGGUGAGUAACGCGUAAAGAACUUGCCUCACAGCUAGGGACAGCAUUUGGAAACGAAUGCUAAUACCUGAUAUUAUGAUUUUAGGGCAUCCUAGAAUUAUGAAAGCUAUAUGCGCUGUGAGAGAGCUUUGCGUCCCAUUAGCUAGUUGGAGAGGUAACGGCUCACCAAGGCGAUGAUGGGUAGCCGGCCUGAGAGGGUGAACGGCCACAAGGGGACUGAGACACGGCCCUUACUCCUACGGGAGGCAGCAGUGGGGAAUAUUGGACAAUGGACCAAGAGUCUGAUCCAGCAAUUCUGUGUGCACGAUGAAGUUUUUCGGAAUGUAAAGUGCUUUCAGUUGGGAAGAAAAAAAUGACGGUACCAACAGAAGAAGUGACGGCUAAAUACGUG
Molecule: ribosomal RNA, 454 nt
Filed under: uncultured bacterium
Lineage: Bacteria
Description: partial 16S ribosomal RNA
Rfam family: Bacterial small subunit ribosomal RNA
Source: RNAcentral